Molecule: long non-coding RNA, 908 nt
Filed under: Mus musculus (house mouse)
Lineage: Eukaryota; Metazoa; Chordata; Mammalia; Rodentia; Muridae
Description: long non-coding RNA chr18:44888780-44889688
Source: RNAcentral
AAGUUUUAAAAAAUGCUCAGCGGUUAUUGAUAGUUUGGUUGCUAUAUAUCUUUGAAACUAAAGCUCACACAACCCAUAAUUCUUCAUGUCUUUUUUCAUUAUUUUUUAAUCUUUUUCUUUCACCUAUUAUAUGUAAAUGGGGCAUUUAUUUUUCUAAGUCUGUGUUAAUGCUAAGUCUCAUGUCUCUUUACCAUCAGAGAGUUACUUUCUUUUAUGCUUUUACCACCAUUGUUUACAGGUUUUCUUUGAGACUCUUGGAAGAUAAAGUAGAAGUGCAGGGCAGAACAUCAGACAUAUCUUUGCUACUGAGCUCUAAAUAGAGCAGGCUUGAUAGUACUUUUCAUAGCAUUUGAAAAUGAAUUUAAUUUAAAGAUGAAAAGAAAACAAAUGUCUGGUUCAGUAUUUGAGGGCAAAGAUAUAGAAAAUCAUGGAUUGGCAUGAAGUCUUGAGAACUCUUCUACUUUCUCUGUGAAAAUGUAUUAAUGCAUUGUUUAAAGAUAUCAGCUAUAACUUUUGCCUGUAUUAGAAAUUGUGAUAUAUAUAUGUAUAUAUGUGUAUAUACAUAUAGAUACACACACAUAUAUGUAUAUAUAUAUGAUACAUGAAUGCAUAUAUGUAUACACACACUCACACACUCAUUCAUAAACUUUGAAGCUGAGCCAGAGUGAAUUAUGCUUCAUUUAUGUGUAUUACAUUUCUUUUGAAACUUACAAUUUUCCUGAUAAUGUAUACUUUUUUAAGGUAUAUAAGUAGAGGUUUUCAGCAUUCUAAAUUUGGAAGAACUUUUAAAGAAAUAAAAUUUGUUUAAAUGUUUCUUGUUUUGUAAUAUCUAGACUUGUAAAUAAAUGAUGGAUUUGUUGGUAGAGUGGAUAUAAUUUGAAUGUAAUAAAAAUACUGUUGAAUAAAUG